This 1224-nucleotide ribosomal RNA is filed under the name Coxiella burnetii. RNAcentral's name for it is "partial 16S ribosomal RNA". It matches the Rfam family "Bacterial small subunit ribosomal RNA", at positions 235 to 1452 of the family's 1533-position model. The record is from RNAcentral. Lineage: Bacteria; Pseudomonadati; Pseudomonadota; Gammaproteobacteria; Legionellales; Coxiellaceae.
GUCGGAUUAGCUNGUUGGUGGGGUAAUGGCCUACCAAGGCGACGAUCCGUAGCUGGUCUGAGAGGAUGAUCAGCCACACUGGGACUGAGACACGGCCCAGACUCCUACGGGAGGCAGCAGUGGGGAAUAUUGGACAAUGGGGGAAACCCUGAUCCAGCAAUGCCGCGUGUGUGAAGAAGGCCUUCGGGUUGUAAAGCACUUUCGGUGGGGAAGAAAUUCUCAAGGGNNNNNNNNNNNNNNNUUGACGUUACCCACAGAAGAAGCACUGGCUAACUCUGUGCCAGCAGCCGCGGUAAUACAGAGAGUGCAAGCGUUAAUCGGAAUCACUGGGCGUAAAGCGCGCGUAGGUGGAUNUUUAAGUCGGAUGUGAAAGCCCUGGGCUUAACCUGGGAAUUGCANNNNNNNNNNNNNNNNNNGAGUAUGGUAGAGGGAAGUGGAAUUUCCGGUGUAGCGGUGAAAUGCGUAGAUAUCGGAAAGAACACCAGUGGCGAAGGCGACUUCCUGGACCAAUACUGACACUGAGGCGCGAAAGCGUGGGGAGCAAACAGGAUUAGAGACCCUGGUAGUCCACGCCGUCAACGAUGAGAACUAGCUGUUGGGANNNNNNCUUCUUAGUAGCGAAGCUAACGCGUUAAGUUCUCCGCCUGGGGAGUACGGCCGCAAGGUUAAAACUCAAAGAAAUUGACGGGGGCCCGCACAAGCGGUGGAGCAUGUGGUUUAAUUCGAUGCAACGCGAAAAACCUUACCUACCCUUGACAUCCUCGGAACUUGUCAGAGAUGAUUUGGUGCCUUCGGGAACCGAGUGACAGGUGCUGCAUGGCUGUCGUCAGCUCGUGUCGUGAGAUGUUGGGUUAAGUCCCGUAACGAGCGCAACCCUCGUCCUUAGUUGCCAGCGAGUCAAGUCGGGAACUCUAAGGAGACUGCCGGUGAUAAACCGGAGGAAGGUGGGGAUGAUGUCAAGUCAUCAUGGCCCUUACGGGUAGGGCUACACACGUGCUACAAUGGGCAGUACAAAGGGUUGCCAAGCCGCGAGGUGGAGCUAAUCCCAGAAAACUGCUCGUAGUCCGGAUUGGAGUCUGCAACUCGACUCCAUGAAGUUGGAAUCGCUAGUAAUCGCGAAUCAGCAUGUCGCGGUGAAUACGUUCUCGGGCCUUGUACACACCGCCCGUCACACCAUGGGAGUGANUUGUACCAGAAGCNNNNAGGCUAACCUUCGGGAGGCCG